GACGAACCGUGCGAACGUUGUUCGGAAUCACUGGGCUUAAAGGGCGCGUAGGCGGGUCCCAAAGUCGGGGGUGAAAUACUCCGGCCUAACCGGAGAACGGCUUCCGAUACUGGGGACCUCGAGGGGUGUAGGGGCAUGCGGAACUUCCGGUGGAGCGGUGAAAUGCGUAGAUAUCGGAAGGAACGCCGGUGGCGAAAGCGGCGUGCUGGACACCUUCUGACGCUGAGGCGCGAAAGCCAGGGGAGCAAACGGG
Molecule: ribosomal RNA, 253 nt
Filed under: uncultured bacterium
Lineage: Bacteria
Description: partial 16S ribosomal RNA
Rfam family: Bacterial small subunit ribosomal RNA
Source: RNAcentral